GACUAAGCGUACACGGUGGAUGCCCUGGCAGUCAGAGGCGAUGAAGGACGUGCUAAUCUGCGAAAAGCGUCGGUAAGGUGAUAUGAACCGUUAUAACCGGCGAUGUCCGAAUGGGGAAACCCAGUGCAAUUCGUUGCACUAUCGUUAACUGAAUACAUAGGUUAACGAGGCGAACCGGGGGAACUGAAACAUCUAAGUACCCCGAGGAAAAGAAAUCAACCGAGAUUCCCCCAGUAGCGGCGAGCGAACGGGGAGCAGCCCAGAGUCUGAAUCAGCUUGUGUGUUAGUGGAACGGUCUGGAAAGUCCGACGGUACAGGGUGAUAGUCCCGUACACCAAAAUGCACAGGCUGUGAACUCGAAGAGUAGGGCGGGACACGUGGUAUCCUGUCUGAAUAUGGGGGGACCAUCCUCCAAGGCUAAAUACUCCUGACUGACCGAUAGUGAACCAGUACCGUGAGGGAAAGGCGAAAAGAACCCCGGCGAGGGGAGUGAAAAAGAACCUGAAACCGUGUACGUACAAGCAGUGGGAGCACCUUCGGGUGUGACUGCGUACCUUUUGUAUAAUGGGUCAGCGACUUAUAUUCUGUAGCAAGGUUAACCGUAUAGGGGAGCCGCAGGGAAACCGAGUCUUAACUGGGCGUUAAGUUGCAGGGUAUAGACCCGAAACCCGGUGAUCUAGCCAUGGGCAGGUUGAAGGUUGGGUAACACUAACUGGAGGACCGAACCGACUAAUGUUGAAAAAUUAGCGGAUGACUUGUGGCUGGGGGUGAAAGGCCAAUCAAACCGGGAGAUAGCUGGUUCUCCCCGAAAGCUAUUUAGGUAGCGCCUCGUGAACUCAUCUUCGGGGGUAGAGCACUGUUUCGGCUAGGGGGUCAUCCCGACUUACCAACCCGAUGCAAACUACGAAUACCGAAGAAUGUUAUCACGGGAGACACACGGCGGGUGCUAACGUCCGUCGUGAAGAGGGAAACAACCCAGACCGCCAGCUAAGGUCCCAAAGUCAUGGUUAAGUGGGAAACGAUGUGGGAAGGCACAGACAGCCAGGAUGUUGGCUUAGAAGCAGCCAUCAUUUAAAGAAAGCGUAAUAGCUCACUGGUCGAGUCGGCCUGCGCGGAAGAUGUAACGGGGCUAAACCAUGCACCGAAGCUGCGGCAGCGACACUAUGUGUUGUUGGGUAGGGGAGCGUUCUGUAAGCCUGCGAAGGUGACCUGUGAGGGUUGCUGGAGGUAUCAGAAGUGCGAAUGCUGACAUAAGUAACGAUAAAGCGGGUGAAAAGCCCGCUCGCCGGAAGACCAAGGGUUCCUGUCCAACGUUAAUCGGGGCAGGGUGAGUCGACCCCUAAGGCGAGGCCGAAAGGCGUAGUCGAUGGGAAACAGGUUAAUAUUCCUGUACUUGGUGUUACUGCGAAGGGGGGACGGAGAAGGCUAUGUUAGCCGGGCGACGGUUGUCCCGGUUUAAGCAUGUAGGCUGGUUGUCCAGGCAAAUCCGGAUAAUCAAGGCUGAGGUGUGAUGACGAGGCACUACGGUGCUGAAGUAACAAAUGCCCUGCUUCCAGGAAAAGCCUCUAAGCAUCAGGUAACAUUAAAUCGUACCCCAAACCGACACAGGUGGUCAGGUAGAGAAUACCAAGGCGCUUGAGAGAACUCGGGUGAAGGAACUAGGCAAAAUGGUGCCGUAACUUCGGGAGAAGGCACGCUGGUGUGUAGGUGAAGUCCCUGCGGAUGGAGCUGAGACCAGUCGAAGAUACCAGCUGGCUGCAACUGUUUAUUAAAAACACAGCACUGUGCAAACACGAAAGUGGACGUAUACGGUGUGACGCCUGCCCGGUGCCGGAAGGUUAAUUGAUGGGGUUAUCCGUAAGGAGAAGCUCUUGAUCGAAGCCCCGGUAAACGGCGGCCGUAACUAUAACGGUCCUAAGGUAGCGAAAUUCCUUGUCGGGUAAGUUCCGACCUGCACGAAUGGCGUAAUGAUGGCCAGGCUGUCUCCACCCGAGACUCAGUGAAAUUGAACUCGCUGUGAAGAUGCAGUGUACCCGCGGCAAGACGGAAAGACCCCGUGAACCUUUACUAUAGCUUGACACUGAACAUUGAGCCUUGAUGUGUAGGAUAGGUGGGAGGCUUUGAAGCGUGGACGCCAGUCUGCGUGGAGCCAACCUUGAAAUACCACCCUUUAAUGUUUGAUGUUCUAACGUUGGCCCCUGACCGGGGUUGCGGACAGUGUCUGGUGGGUAGUUUGACUGGGGCGGUCUCCUCCCAAAGCGUAACGGAGGAGCACGAAGGUUAGCUAAUCCUGGUCGGACAUCAGGAGGUUAGUGCAAUGGCAUAAGCUAGCUUGACUGCGAGCGUGACGGCGCGAGCAGGUGCGAAAGCAGGUCAUAGUGAUCCGGUGGUUCUGAAUGGAAGGGCCAUCGCUCAACGGAUAAAAGGUACUCCGGGGAUAACAGGCUGAUACCGCCCAAGAGUUCAUAUCGACGGCGGUGUUUGGCACCUCGAUGUCGGCUCAUCACAUCCUGGGGCUGAAGUAGGUCCCAAGGGUAUGGCUGUUCGCCAUUUAAAGUGGUACGCGAGCUGGGUUUAGAACGUCGUGAGACAGUUCGGUCCCUAUCUGCCGUGGGCGCUGGAGAAUUGAGGGGGGCUGCUCCUAGUACGAGAGGACCGGAGUGGACGCAUCACUGGUGUUCGGGUUGUCAUGCCAAUGGCACUGCCCGGUAGCUAAAUGCGGAAGAGAUAAGUGCUGAAAGCAUCUAAGCACGAAACUUGCCCCGAGAUGAGUUCUCCCUGAGACUUUAAGUCUCCUGAAGGAACGUUGAAGACGACGACGUUGAUAGGCCGGGUGUGUAAGCGCAGCGAUGCGUUGAGCUAACCGGUACUAAUGAACCGUGAGGCUUAACCUUACAACGCCGAAG
This 2906-nucleotide ribosomal RNA is filed under the name Klebsiella pneumoniae. RNAcentral describes it as "bacterial LSU rRNA". It matches the Rfam family "Bacterial large subunit ribosomal RNA". The record is from RNAcentral. Lineage: Bacteria; Pseudomonadati; Pseudomonadota; Gammaproteobacteria; Enterobacterales; Enterobacteriaceae.